GAUGAACGCUGGCGGCGUGCCUAAUACAUGCAAGUCGAGCGAACAAACGAGGAUCUUGCUCCUCUUCCGUUAGCUGCGGACGGGUGAGUAACACGUAGAUAACCGACCUAUAAGACUGGGAUAACUUCGGGAAACCUGAUCUAAUACCGGAUAAUAUAUUGAACCGCAUGGUUCUUUAGUCAAAGCCGUUUUUGCUGUCCCUUAUUGAGGUAUUCUCGUCGAAUUAGCUAGUUGGUACGGUAACGGCUUACCAAGGCUAGGAUGCGUAGCUGACCUGAGAGGGUGAUCGGCCACACUGGAACUGAGACACGGUCCAGACUCCUACGGGAGGCAGCAGUAGGGAAUCUUCGGAAAUGGGCGAAAGCCUGACGGAGCAAGGCCGCGUGAGUGAUGAAGGUCUUCGGAUCGUAAAACACGGUUAGUAGGGAAGAAGAAAUGUGGAAGUAAAUAUGCACGUCUUGACGGUACCUAAACAGAAAGCAACGGCUAACUACGUG
This 497-nucleotide ribosomal RNA is filed under the name uncultured bacterium. RNAcentral's name for it is "partial 16S ribosomal RNA". It matches the Rfam family "Bacterial small subunit ribosomal RNA", at positions 28 to 507 of the family's 1533-position model. The record is from RNAcentral.